AAAUUAACCACCUCGCUAGUAGUUUUCGGUAUAUUCUUUGCUCAGUCAACUUUCUGUAGAAACCACUCCCAAACAGACAAAAGGCAAUUUGCCAGCAGACUACAUUAAAAGCCCAUUACAAGCUAGUUGCGUGUCCGCAGGUCCACGCUACUGGCAAACAUCGGAGUUAACAUCCAGGACAAACGACAAUGCGCCUAGCGUGAGGCGAAGACCACACCACAGCGGAGUAAUAAGAUUAGUCCUUGUUGUUAGCAUCAGCCAAGUCGAACGUGCCUGCCUGUCAGCAUUACCAGAUUGGGAGGAACUCAGAACCGAAUUGUCCGGGGAUGAAAAAUGGUGGCGUUUUUAUGUAUAGCAUAAAAUUGCUCGCCCCCUCAUA
Anguilla rostrata (American eel) is the source of this 379-nucleotide long non-coding RNA. RefSeq lists it as uncharacterized. NCBI's taxonomy places the organism in Eukaryota, Metazoa, Chordata, Actinopteri, Anguilliformes, Anguillidae. The transcript is spliced from 2 exons. The record is from RefSeq and is a predicted model, not a curated record.